RNAcentral lists this unclassified non-coding RNA (431 nucleotides) under soil metagenome. Its description in RNAcentral is "partial contains 5.8S ribosomal RNA, internal transcribed spacer 2, and large subunit ribosomal RNA". The stretch from base 1 to 120 matches the Rfam family "5.8S ribosomal RNA", at positions 35 to 154 of the family's 154-position model. The record is from RNAcentral.
GAUGAAGAACGCAGCCAAAUGCGAUACGUAAUGUGAAUUGCAGAAUUCAGUGAAUCAUCGAAUCUUUGAACGCACAUUGCACUCUCUGGUAUUCCGGAGAGUAUGCUUGUUUGAGUAUCUGUAAACAUCUCAAAUCUCUCUUCAAUUGCUUCAAUUGGGUCGAGAGAAUUGGAUUUGAGCGAUCCCGACUCCUUCGUCAGAAAGAGGAGGGUCGCUUGAAAUGCAGGUGCAGCUGGACAUUCUUCUGAGCAAAAAGCAUAUCUAUUUAGUCCCGUCAAACGGAUUAUUACUUUUGCUUCAGCUAAUAUAAAGGUUGAAUGAACUACCAACGCUGAUUGCAGGAAAACAUGUUCGUUUAUUCGGACUUGUAAACUCGAUCUCAAAUCAAGUAAGACUACCCGCUGAACUUAAGCAUAUCAAUAAGCGGAGGA